RNAcentral lists this ribosomal RNA (484 nucleotides) under uncultured bacterium. Its description in RNAcentral is "partial 16S ribosomal RNA". It matches the Rfam family "Bacterial small subunit ribosomal RNA", at positions 30 to 507 of the family's 1533-position model. The record is from RNAcentral.
AUUGAACGCUGGCGGCAGGCCUAACACAUGCAAGUCGAGCGGAUGAAGGGAGCUUGCUCCUGGAUUCAGCGGCGGACGGGUGAGUAAUGCCUAGGAAUCUGCCUGGUAGUGGGGGAUAACGUCCGGAAACGGGCGCUAAUACCGCAUACGUCCUGAGGGAGAAAGUGGGGGAUCUUCGGACCUCACGCUAUCAGAUGAGCCUAGGUCGGAUUAGCUAGUUGGUGGGGUAAAGGCCUACCAAGGCGACGAUCCGUAACUGGUCUGAGAGGAUGAUCAGUCACACUGGAACUGAGACACGGUCCCGACGCCUAAGGGAGGCAGCAGUGGGGAAUAUUGGACAAUGGGCGAAAGCCUGAUCCAGCCAUGCCGAGUGUGUGAAGAAGGUCUUCGGAUUGUAAAGCACUUUAAGUUGGGAGGAACGGCAGUAAGUUAAUACCUUGCUGUUUUGACGUUACCAACAGAAUAAGCACCGGCUAACUUCGUG